RNAcentral lists this ribosomal RNA (497 nucleotides) under uncultured bacterium. RNAcentral describes it as "partial 16S ribosomal RNA". It matches the Rfam family "Bacterial small subunit ribosomal RNA", at positions 28 to 507 of the family's 1533-position model. The record is from RNAcentral.
GAUGAACGCUGGCGGCGUGCCUAAUACAUGCAAGUCGAGCGAACGGACGAGAAGCUUGCUUCUCUGAUGUUAGCGGCGGACGGGUGAGUAACACGUGGAUAACCUACCUAUAAGACUGGGAUAACUUCGGGAAACCGGAGCUAAUACCGGAUAAUAUUUUGAACCGCAGGGUUAAAAAGUGAAAGACGGUCUUGCUGUUACUUAUAGAUGGAUCAGCGCUGCAUUGGCUAGUUGGUAAGGUAACGGCUUACCAAGGCAACGAUGCAUAGCCGACCUGAGAGGGUGAACGGCCACACUGGAACUGAGACACGGUCCAGACUCCUACGGGAGGCAGCAGUAGGGAAUCUUCCGCAAUGGGCGAAAGCCUGACGGAGCAACGCCGCGUGAGUGAUGAAGGUCUUCGGAUCGUAAAACUCUGUUAUUAGGGAAGAACAUAUGUGUAAGUAACUGGGCACAUCUUGACGGUACCUAAUCAGAAAGCCACGGCUAACUACGUG